This 279-nucleotide ribosomal RNA is filed under the name uncultured bacterium. RNAcentral's name for it is "partial 16S ribosomal RNA". It matches the Rfam family "Bacterial small subunit ribosomal RNA", at positions 506 to 784 of the family's 1533-position model. The record is from RNAcentral.
UGCCAGCCGCCGGGGUAAUACGAAGGGUGCUAGCGUUAUUCGGAAUUAUUGGGCGUAAAGGGCGCGCAGGCGGUCUUGUCCGUCAGGUGUGAAAGCUCGGGGCUCAACCCCGGAACUGCCCUUGAUACUGGUAGUCUAGAGUUCGAGAGAGGUGAGUGGAAUUCCGAGUGUAGAGGUGAAAUUCGUAGAUAUUCGGAGGAACACCAGUGGCGAAGGCAGCUUUCUGGACAGAUACUGACGCUGAGGCGCGAAGGCGUGGGUAGCGAACGGGAUUAGAUA